GACGAACGCUGGCGGCGUGCCUAACACAUGCAAGUCGAGCGGGGUUGAAGCGAGAGGUAACUCGAGCUUCUACCUAGCGGCGGACGGGUGAGUAACGCGUGGGCAACCUGCCUCAAGGUUUGGGAUAACAGCCCGAAAGGGCUGCUAAUACCGGAUAUGCCUAUGGCCUCGCAUGGGGCUAUGAGCAAAGGGGAAACCCGCCUUGAGAUGGGCCCGCGUCCCAUCAGCUAGUUGGUGAGGUAACAGCUCACCAAGGCGACGACGGGUAACCGGCCUGAGAGGGUGACCGGCCACACUGGGACUGAGACACGGCCCAGACUCCUACGGGGGGCAGCAGUGGGGGAUCUUGCACAAUGGGCGAAAGCCUGAUGCAGCGACGCCGCGUGAGCGAAGAAGGCCUCGGUUGUAAGACUCUGUCUGAGGGACGGAAGAAAGUAGAGGUACCUCCGGACGGAAGCCACGGCUAACUAACGUGCCAGCAGCCGCGGUAAAGUACUACUACGU
Molecule: ribosomal RNA, 504 nt
Filed under: uncultured bacterium
Lineage: Bacteria
Description: bacterial SSU rRNA
Rfam family: Bacterial small subunit ribosomal RNA
Source: RNAcentral